Molecule: long non-coding RNA, 555 nt
Organism: Trichomycterus rosablanca
Lineage: Eukaryota; Metazoa; Chordata; Actinopteri; Siluriformes; Trichomycteridae
Exons: 3
Source: RefSeq, a predicted model, not a curated record
UGUCCAGAAGACUCUACAAUACAAAAUCAUAUUUACAAUCCAGAAAUCUCUUCUGUUAGAUUGAAGGGAAACACAUCCACUUUAAACUCACUUUUAUAUGAGAUUUGACCACAUUUGUUCUCUCCAGUCUCUGUUCCUCUGGAAUCCCGAUCUCCUCCCAGAUGUCCUUCAGGCGGCACAGUGCUUUAUUUAGGCAUGCCACUGCCUCGGCAGCAAGCACCUCACUUAAAUCAGAAUAGGACUAUGAAGACGAGACUACACCUUGGACAGGACAUUAAUCCAUCACAGGCAUCAGACACAUUUACUGACCAGAGUGACCCAAGGUCACACUGCCCUCCACACUGCCCUCCAGUGCUGCCACCUUGCUGCCAGAAACCAGCGAGUCUGCAUGAAUUUAUUCCAGCAGAGCCUCCAGCAGCCUGGCACUGUUCGUGAUGGCAGUAGUUACCACAAUAAACUUAAGUCCUUGAAUAGGAAAGUACAUUGUUAGUGUUGGACAAUAACUGCACAUUCAUUGACAGAUCUCUUCUUUCUUCUGAAACCUUCUUACCUUUC